Molecule: long non-coding RNA, 2182 nt
Filed under: Homo sapiens (human)
Lineage: Eukaryota; Metazoa; Chordata; Mammalia; Primates; Hominidae
Description: HSALNT0131955
Source: RNAcentral
UGAGGUGGCAACCCUGUAUCUCCACUGAAAAACCAGGACUUGUUAAAUGUGUCUUCUACAUGUAAUAAUUUUCAUUUCCUCCAAUUUGGUCAAAUAAGUAGCUGUCUCUAUGUAUUAGCAAUCCUAUAGCAAACUUACUGAUCCAUGUACCUCAUCCAAUCUUUAAAUGGUUUUUGAUGAAUCCUUCACUCCCAAUACUGGUUACUAGGACAUAAACACAGCUAAAUGCAGACAUUGGCUUUCUCCAGGCUAAAAACAGCCUGGGGUCUCAAUUCAGGGGCCUUCAUGGAGUACAUCAGCAUUGCCAGUUCCCAGACAGAAGCAAUACCGGCUCUAUCUGCCAAUGUCAAAAGAAAACAGAUUCAAAGGGAUUUUUGUUUUCCUUAGAGGUUUUCUUAAAUUCAGUAACUCUAAUGCAUAAAUGACUUGCAUUUUCUAAGUACUGAACUUCAUGUUAAAAAUCUUAUACAAUUUUCUACAAAACAAGCCGAGCAACUGAAUUCAUUUGAAGCCUAUGGAGGAAUGAACACUGUGUAAUAGAACCUAACAGAACCAUGUACACACACACACUGAACCGAAACUAGUUCCCCUCCUAACAACCACACACACACACACUGAACCGAAACUAGUUCCCCUCCUAACAACCACGCACACACACACUGAAACGAAACAAGUUCCCCUAACAGAACCACACACACACACACACACACUGAACCGAAACAAGUUCCCCUCCUAACUACGUACACACACACACUGAAAUGAAACUAGUUCCCCUCCUACCACACACACACACACACACACUCAACUGAAACUAGUUCCCCUCCUAACCACACACACACACACACACACUCAACUGAAACUAGUUCCCCUAACAGAACCAUGCACACACACACACACACACACACUGAACUGAAACAAGUUCCCCUCCUAACAGAACCACACACACACACACACACACUGAACCAAAACAAGUUCCCCUCCUAACAACCACACACACACACACGCACUGAACCAAAACAAGUUCCCCUCCUAACAACUACAUACACACACACACUGAAACGAAACUAGUUCCCCUCCUAACAACCACACACACACACGCUGAACCAAAACAAGUUCCCCUCCUAACAACCACACACACACACACUGAAACGAAACUAGUUCCCCUCCUAACCACACACACACACACACACACACACACUCAACCGAAACUAGUUCCCCUCCUAACAGAAACACACACACACACACAUACUCAACCGAAACUAGUUCCCCUCCUAACAGAACCACACACGCACACACACACACUGAACCGAAACUAGUUCCCCUCCUAACAGAACCAUACACACACACACACACACUCAACCGAAACUAGUCCCCCUAACAGAACCACACAAACACACACACACUCAACCGAAACUAGUUCCCCUAACAACCACACACACACACACACACGCUGAACCAAAACUAGUUCCCCUCCUAACAAAACCACACACACACACACACACACAUGCUGAACCAAAACAAGUUCCCCUCCUAACAACCACACACACACACACACGCUGAACCAAAACUAGUUCCCGUCCUAACAGAACCACACACACAUACACACAGACACACACACACACACACGCUGAACCAAAACUAGUUCCCCUAACAGAACCACACACACAUACACACACACACACACACACACACACUGAACCGAAACUAGUUCCCCUCCUAACAGAACCAUACACACACACACACACACACACACACUCAACCGAAACUAGUUCCCCUAACAGAACCACAUACACACACACGCUGAACCAAAACUAGUUCCCCUCCGAACAGAACCACACACACACACACACACACACACUGAACCAAAACUAGUUCCCCUCCUAACAGAACCACGCGCGCGCGCGCACACACACACACACACACACACACACGCUGAACCGAAACUAGUUCCCCUCUUAACCAUGCACACACAUACUGAACCGAAACCAGUUCCCCUAAUAGAACCAUGUACACACACAACACUGAGUUGAACAAAUGAAGCAGCUGGUUCACGUUAUAAAACUGACCUUCUCUUUUUAAAAAUAAUUUGCUAAGGUUUAUAACUGCCUAAAAUAACUUGCUGAUGGCCAGUUCAAGCAUAAGCCCUCAUUGUAUUUAACGUUCUCAUUCUACUGAGAAUUGG